ACGCUCGACACCUACGGGAGGAGCAGUGGGGAAUAUUGCACAAUGGGGGAAACCCUGAUGCAGCAACGCCGCGUGAAGGAAGACGGUUUUCGGAUUGUAAACUUCUGUUCUUAGUGAAGAUAGUGACGGUANCUAAGGAGCAAGCCACGGCUAACUACGUGCAGCAGCCGCGGUAAUCUGAGCGGGCUGGCAAGGC
This 196-nucleotide ribosomal RNA is filed under the name uncultured bacterium. Its description in RNAcentral is "partial 16S ribosomal RNA". It matches the Rfam family "Bacterial small subunit ribosomal RNA", at positions 328 to 539 of the family's 1533-position model. The record is from RNAcentral.